Molecule: ribosomal RNA, 539 nt
Filed under: uncultured bacterium
Lineage: Bacteria
Description: bacterial SSU rRNA
Rfam family: Bacterial small subunit ribosomal RNA
Source: RNAcentral
GAGGAAUAUUGGUCAAUGGGCGGAAGUCUGAACCAGCCAAGUAGCGUGCAGGAUGACGGCCCUAUGGGUUGUAAACUGCUUUUGUAUGGGGAUAAAGUUAGGGACGUGUCCCUAUUUGCAGGUACCAUACGAAUAAGGACCGGCUAAUUCCGUGCCAGCAGCCGCGGUAAUACGGAAGGUCCAGGCGUUAUCCGGAUUUAUUGGGUUUAAAGGGAGCGUAGGCUGGAGAUUAAGUGUGUUGUGAAAUGUAGACGCUCAACGUCUGAAUUGCAGCGCAUACUGGUUUCCUUGAGUACGCACAACGUUGGCGGAAUUCGUCGUGUAGCGGUGAAAUGCUUAGAUAUGACGAAGAACUCCGAUUGCGAAGGCAGCUGACGGGAGCGCAACUGACGCUUAAGCUCGAAGGUGCGGGUAUCAAACAGGAUUAGAUACCCUGGUAGUCCGCACAGUAAACGAUGGAUGCCCGCUGUUGGUACCUGGUAUCAGCGGCUAAGCGAAAGCAUUAAGCAUCCCACCUGGGGAGUACGCCGGCAACGGUG